GAUGAACGCUGGCGGCGUGCCUAAUACAUGCAAGUCGAGCGAAUGGACUAAGAGCUUGCUCUUAUGAAGUUAGCGGCGGACGGGUGAGUAACACGUGGGUAACCUGCCCAUAAGACUGGGAUAACUCCGGGAAACCGGGGCUAAUACCGGAUAACAUUUUGAACCGCAUGGUUCGAAAUUGAAAGGCGGCUUCGGCUGUCACUUAUGGAUGGACCCGCGUCGCAUUAGCUAGUUGGUGAGGCAACGGCUCACCAAGGCAACGAUGCGUAGCCGACCUGAGAGGGUGAUCGGCCACACUGGGACUGAGACACGGCCCAGACUCCUACGGGAGGCAGCAGUAGGGAAUCUUCCGCAAUGGACGAAAGUCUGACGGAGCAACGCCGCGUGAGUGAUGAAGGCUUUCGGGUCGUAAAACUCUGUUGUUAGGGAAGAACAAGAGCUAGUUGAAUAAGCUGGCACCUUGACGGUACCUAACCAGAAAGCCACGGCUAACUACGUGCCAGCAGCCGCAGUAA
This 515-nucleotide ribosomal RNA is filed under the name uncultured bacterium. RNAcentral describes it as "partial 16S ribosomal RNA". It matches the Rfam family "Bacterial small subunit ribosomal RNA", at positions 28 to 523 of the family's 1533-position model. The record is from RNAcentral.